This 253-nucleotide ribosomal RNA is filed under the name uncultured bacterium. RNAcentral's name for it is "partial 16S ribosomal RNA". It matches the Rfam family "Bacterial small subunit ribosomal RNA", at positions 524 to 776 of the family's 1533-position model. The record is from RNAcentral.
UACGUAGGGGACAAGCGUUAUCCGGAAUUACUGGGUGUAAAGGGUGAGUAGGCGGCAUGGUAAGCCAGAUGUGAAAGCCUUGGGCUUAACCCGAGGAUUGCAUUUGGAACUAUCAAGCUAGAGUACAGGAGAGGAAAGCGGAAUUCCUAGUGUAGCGGUGAAAUGCGUAGAUAUUAGGAAGAACACCAGUGGCGAAGGCGGCUUUCUGGACUGAAACUGACGCUGAGGCACGAAAGCGUGGGGAGCGAACAGG